This 428-nucleotide ribosomal RNA is filed under the name uncultured prokaryote. Its description in RNAcentral is "bacterial SSU rRNA". It matches the Rfam family "Bacterial small subunit ribosomal RNA", at positions 355 to 774 of the family's 1533-position model. The record is from RNAcentral.
UCGAGAAUCAUUCGCAAUGGGCGAAAGCCUGACGGUGCGACGUCGCGUGGAGGAUGAAGGUCUUCGGAUUGUAAACUCCUGUCAUGAGGGAUAAAUGGCCAGGGCACGAAUAGUGCCUUGGAAUGAUAGUACCUCAGGAGGAAGAGACGGCUAAAUCUGUGCCCGCAGCCGCGGUAAUACAGAGGUCUCGAGCGUUGUUCGGGUUUACUGGGCGGAAAGGGAGCGUAGGCGGUUCGGUGUGUUGAAUGUGAAAUCCCACAACUCAACUGUGGAAUGGCAUUCAAAACUACCGGGCUAGAGUACUGGAGAGGAGAGCGGAAUUCGUGGUGUAGCGGUGAAAUGCGUAGAUAUCAAGAGGAACACCGGUGGCGAAGGCGGCUCUCUGGACAGAUACUGACGCUGAGGCUCUAAAGUUAGGGGAGCAAACA